Gregarina niphandrodes is the source of this 74-nucleotide transfer RNA. It matches the Rfam family "tRNA". Rfam says of the family: Transfer RNA (tRNA) molecules are approximately 80 nucleotides in length. Their secondary structure includes four short double-helical elements and three loops (D, anti-codon, and T loops). Further hydrogen bonds mediate the characteristic L-shaped molecular structure. tRNAs have two regions of fundamental functional importance: the anti-codon, which is responsible for specific mRNA codon recognition, and the 3' end, to which the tRNAs corresponding amino acid is attached (by aminoacyl-tRNA synthetases). tRNAs cope with the degeneracy of the genetic code in two manners: having more than one tRNA (with a specific anti-codon) for a particular amino acid; and 'wobble' base-pairing, i.e. permitting non-standard base-pairing at the 3rd anti-codon position. Lineage: Eukaryota; Apicomplexa; Conoidasida; Eugregarinorida; Gregarinidae. The record is from Rfam.
GGUCGUGUAGCUCAGCCGGUUAGAGCGUCAGUCUAAUAAACUGAAAGUCCGCGGUUCGAUCCCGCGCUCGACCA